UUAACCGAAUAGGGGAGCCGGAGGGAAACCGAGUCUUAACUGGGCGUUAAGUUGCAGGGUAUAGACCCGAAACCCGGUGAUCUAGCCAUGGGCAGGUUGAAGGUUGGGUAACACUAACUGGAGGACCGAACCGACUAAUGUUGAAAAAUUAGCGGAUGACCUGUGGCUGGGGGUGAAAGGCCAAUCAAACCGGGAGAUAGCUGGUUCUCCCCGAAAGCUAUUUAGGUAGCGCCUCGUGAACUCAUCUCCGGGGGUAGAGCA
RNAcentral lists this ribosomal RNA (261 nucleotides) under Salmonella enterica subsp. enterica serovar Kentucky. Its description in RNAcentral is "partial 23S ribosomal RNA". It matches the Rfam family "Bacterial large subunit ribosomal RNA", at positions 646 to 909 of the family's 2925-position model. Lineage: Bacteria; Pseudomonadati; Pseudomonadota; Gammaproteobacteria; Enterobacterales; Enterobacteriaceae. The record is from RNAcentral.